UACAGAGGGUGCGAGCGUUAAUCGGAAUUACUGGGCGUAAAGCGCACGUAGGUGGCGACGUAAGUCGGGUGUGAAAGCCCCGGGCUCAACCUGGGAAUUGCAUUCGAGACUGCAUUGCUGGAGUACGGAAGAGGAAGGCGGAAUUCCCGGUGUAGCGGUGAAAUGCGUAGAUAUUGGGAAGAACACCGAUGGCGAAGGCAGCCAUCUGGACCGACACUGACGCUGAGGCGCGAAAGCGUGGGGAGCAAACAGG
This 253-nucleotide ribosomal RNA is filed under the name uncultured bacterium. RNAcentral's name for it is "partial 16S ribosomal RNA". It matches the Rfam family "Bacterial small subunit ribosomal RNA", at positions 524 to 776 of the family's 1533-position model. The record is from RNAcentral.